CGGCGGCGCCGCGGGGCUGGAGCAGAGCAGUAAGCGCCUCUCCCUUCCCGGUGUUCCUGGGCCGGGCUCGGCAGGGCCUUGUGCUGUGUUUUGUGCAGCGUGGGUUUUAUUUCUUUGUUUUCGUGACAAUUUGAGAAGUGACAGCAGGGAUACCGCUCAGGAGCCUUAUCCUCGGGAGAAGGAUCCUAAAAAAAAAAAAACCUGAAGUCUAAACUUUGUGCAGCUUGAGCGUCUUCCCCGCAGUCUGAAGGGAAAAUCCAGUCUGAAAACCUUACCAAAAAUUAAAGAAAAGCUUGAAGCGACCCAAGCGACCCAUUCAUCCAAUCAAAGCACUCUAGUGCAUGUCAAAGAGGUGACCAACAUAGAAGAAACUGAAGAGAAAACAGGAGAAAGCACUGUACUGCUGAAGGAAUCUUCAGUAAUCAACUUUGAAAGUAAAGAAAGUUUGAAAAAUGCUGAAGUGACUUCAAGUACAGAAUUGACUCUUCCCACAGGUGUUUCAACCUUUCUACUAGAGUGUUUAGAUGUAGAUUCCACUGCAGACUAUAACACAGGCUCUAAUGACAGCAUGAACAAUUGCUCAUCCCCUGAAACAUUCAGAGAUGAAGAUAUUUCAGAUAGAAGUAACCUUUUCUCUGAGGACUGUGUCAAAUAUAAGAACUCAACUCUCCUGGACUCCAGCAAAGCAAUGACCAUAGACAAGAUGCCACAGAUCUCAAAUCUGUCAGCAAUAUUAGAACCUAUGCUGGAGGAUUUUCAAGACCAAUACACUAGAAGAAAUAAACCAUCAAAAUGCAAUUACAGUUCUUCAGCAUUAAAUGUUUCAACUACUCUAGCAGGUAAAAUAUGA
Apteryx haastii (Great spotted kiwi) is the source of this 850-nucleotide long non-coding RNA. NCBI's taxonomy places the organism in Eukaryota, Metazoa, Chordata, Aves, Apterygiformes, Apterygidae. The record is from Ensembl.